Molecule: ribosomal RNA, 587 nt
Filed under: uncultured bacterium
Lineage: Bacteria
Description: bacterial SSU rRNA
Rfam family: Bacterial small subunit ribosomal RNA
Source: RNAcentral
UCCUACGGGAGGCAGCAGUGGGGAAUAUUGGACAAUGGGGGCAACCCUGAUCCAGCCAUGCCGCGUGUGUGAAGAAGGCCCUCGGGUUGUAAAGCACUUUCAGCGAGGAAGAACGCCUAGCGGUUAAUACCCGCUAGGAAAGACAUCACUCGCAGAAGAAGCACCGGCUAACUCCGUGCCAGCAGCCGCGGUAAUACGGAGGGUGCAAGCGUUAAUCGGAAUUACUGGGCGUAAAGCGCGCGUAGGUGGCUUGAUAAGCCGGUUGUGAAAGCCCCGGGCUCAACCUGGGAACGGCAUCCGGAACUGUCAAGCUAGAGUGCAGGAGAGGAAGGUAGAAUUCCCGGUGUAGCGGUGAAAUGCGUAGAGAUCGGGAGGAAUACCAGUGGCGAAGGCGGCCUUCUGGACUGACACUGACACUGAGGUGCGAAAGCGUGGGUAGCAAACAGGACUAGAUACCCUGGUAGUCCACGCCGUAAACGAUGUCGACCCGCCGUUGGGUGCCUAGCGCACUUUGUGGCGAAGUUAACGCGAUAAGUCGACCGCCUGGGGAGUACGGCCGCAAGGUUAAAACUCAAAUGAAUUGACGG